UCGACGCAUAAAUAAAUAUUAAUCCGUAUCAAAACUAAUAUGUGCUAAUAUGUUUCUUUGUGCGGGGUGUAGUAAAUGAGAGCCGCUUCCUUUAAAAUUAAACCGGAGAGGAUUUAGUUGACCGGAACCUGGUUCGCUGUUCGCUCAUUGUCAUCGUCAACGAAAAAUUGGCAAAAAAUGUGUGGUGCACGGCUGCGGAAGCCGAACCGGAGAUACGGUUUCACUUUACGGAUUUCCGAACGAUCCUGGCACGUUAACGCAGUGGCUUCAUUUCUGUGAUCAGGUGGAAAUGCGUGAAGCAGGACAAAGCAAGGAUGUGUUCAAGUUCCGGCAUGUAUGCUCAAGGGUUUGAGAGGGCAGCAUUUAAGAAUCCAUUGAUCGUAUCUUAAGGAUUAAAAAAGCAUGCGGUUCCCACUAUCAAAACGCUGAACCCCACCGCAGUGGAGGACAACGUAUUGGAUUACGAGUCACAGUACAUCGAACUUUUAAGCAGCGACAUGACCGUUGAUACUGGUGUUGUUGAAGAAGAAAUAGAUUAUGAAAAUGGAGACGAUGGAUUGCAGCAAGGAUCCGCUGUUUGCUUCUGUGCUACUGUGCUAUGCUACUGUUAGUGCAGGGUGUUGAAAAUCGGGGAACAUCCGACAACAAGGAAAAUCCGCAACAUCCGACAACGACAUCUGGAAACAAGUUCUUCCGAUACUCGUCUUAAGACACGAUUCGGAUCUUCCAGCACCGAAAGCAGGAAAUUAGAAAAACCUCCUGCUAACUGAGAAGAAAUAGCAGAUACUAAAAGUCCGUCGUUGUAUUGAGACGGAUCGGUCUCCACAUUUUACAUCGGGUGGAAGUUGCUCUUUUGAGCACUGUUGAAGAGGAGGUCAUGGAAGUCAAUCAUGAUAUAUGACGGUUCACCCGGAACCAAGAAAACAGUUAUUGAUCAACCCACUGCGUUAAUUUCAUAAUAUGACUUGUACUGGCACCACAACCGUCAGCAGACGAACUACAGUUGUCGGAGUAUUUCCCAUCACAACAGCGUCCAUAGUUAUCGAGCGAGUGCUCGAUAUUUGCUUCAUAUUUACCAGGGAACACCGGAAUUACCAGACGUCAUGUUGCUUCAACACAAAACACCAUCAUAUUUACAUUAUCCGUUAGUCGAUCAGCAGUCGCACGAGCUGGUCCUCACUGGCUCUGAUGUCACCAACCCUCCGUCACAUCUUCCUGCACCCGAUAUCAAACGUAGGUUCCAGUAACACUUGCUGCUGAAAUCUAAUUAUCCGUGCAACCCUUGUCUAUGAUGAUAAGGAGCAGCUGAGAGGAG
Long non-coding RNA from Armigeres subalbatus, 1315 nucleotides. RefSeq lists it as uncharacterized. Lineage: Eukaryota; Metazoa; Arthropoda; Insecta; Diptera; Culicidae. The record is from RefSeq and is a predicted model, not a curated record. The transcript has 4 exons.